This 597-nucleotide ribosomal RNA is filed under the name uncultured Acidobacteriota bacterium. Its description in RNAcentral is "bacterial SSU rRNA". It matches the Rfam family "Bacterial small subunit ribosomal RNA", at positions 58 to 671 of the family's 1533-position model. The record is from RNAcentral. Lineage: Bacteria; Pseudomonadati; Acidobacteriota.
CAAGUCGAACGAGAAAGUGGAGCAAUCCAUGAGUAAAGUGGCGACCGGGCUGAGUAACACGUGACUAACCUACCCUAAAGUGGGGGAUAACCCUGGGAAACCGGGGCUAAUACCGCAUAACAUCGCGAGGGGAAGAUCCUUGUGAUCAAAGGAGCAAUUCGCUGAAGGAGGGGGUCGCGGCUGAUUAGUUAGUUGGUGAGGUAACGGCUCACCAAGACAAAGAUCAGUAUCCGGCCUGAGAGGGCGCACGGACACACUGGAACUGAAACACGGUCCAGACUCCUACGGGAGGCAGCAGUGGGGAAUUUUGCGCAAUGGGGGAAACCCUGACGCAGCAACGCCGCGUGGAGGAUGAAGUCCCUUGGGAUGUAAACUCCUUUCGAUCGGGACGAUUAUGACGGUACCGGAAGAAGAAGCACCGGCUAACUCUGUGCCAGCAGCCGCGGUAAUACAGAGGGUGCAAGCGUUGUUCGGAAUUAUUGGGCGUAAAGGGCGCGUAGGCGGUGCGGUAAGUCUGCAGUGAAAUCUCUGGGCUCAACUCAGAGUCUGCUGUAGAAACUGCCGUGCUUGAGUGUGGGAGAGGUGAGUGGAAUUCCC